Molecule: non-coding RNA, 94 nt
Organism: Chelonoidis abingdonii (Abingdon island giant tortoise)
Lineage: Eukaryota; Metazoa; Chordata; Testudines; Testudinidae
Source: RefSeq, a predicted model, not a curated record
GAGGAUUUCUUAAAACAAAUAGACCUGUGAUGGGUUGGAGCCCCCUUCUGGGAUGCUAUCUGAUGUACUGGGAUUUCACUGAGCCUCUCUUACU